RNAcentral lists this ribosomal RNA (301 nucleotides) under uncultured bacterium. RNAcentral describes it as "partial 16S ribosomal RNA". It matches the Rfam family "Bacterial small subunit ribosomal RNA", at positions 509 to 809 of the family's 1533-position model. The record is from RNAcentral.
CAGUAGCCGCGGGAAUACGAAGGGGGCUAGCGUUGCUCGGAAUGACUGGGCGUAAAGGGCGCGUAGGCGGUUUGCCAAGUUAGAUGUGAAAUUCCCGGGCUUAACCUGGGGACUGCAUUUGAUACUGGCAGGCUUGAGUGUGGAAGAGGGUCGUGGAAUUUCCGGUGUAGCGGUGAAAUGCGUAGAUAUCGGAAGGAACACCUGUGGCGAAAGCGGCUCACUGGACAAUAACUGACGCUGAUGCACGAAAGCUAGGGGAGCAAACAGGAUUAGAUACCCCUGUAGUCCCUGUCUCUUAUAA